UACGGAGGGAGCAAGCGUUACUCGGAAUUAUUGGGCGUAAAGGGCGCGUAGGCGCUUUAACGAGUCUUGUGUGAAAGCCCCGGGCUUAACUCGGGAAGUGCACAAGAAACUGUUGAAUUUGAGUUCCGGAGAGGAAGGCAGAAUUCCCGGUGUAGCGGUGAAAUGCGUAGAUAUCGGGAGGAACAUCUGUGGCGAAGGCGACACCCUGGACCAGCACUGACACUGAGGCACGAAAGCGUGGGGAGCAAACAGG
RNAcentral lists this ribosomal RNA (253 nucleotides) under uncultured bacterium. RNAcentral's name for it is "partial 16S ribosomal RNA". It matches the Rfam family "Bacterial small subunit ribosomal RNA", at positions 524 to 776 of the family's 1533-position model. The record is from RNAcentral.